This 467-nucleotide ribosomal RNA is filed under the name uncultured bacterium. Its description in RNAcentral is "partial 16S ribosomal RNA". It matches the Rfam family "Bacterial small subunit ribosomal RNA", at positions 28 to 507 of the family's 1533-position model. The record is from RNAcentral.
GAUGAACGCUGGCGGCGUGCUUAACACAUGCAAGUCGAACGGAAAGGCCUCUGCUUGCAGGGGUACUCGAGUGGCGAACGGGUGAGUAACACGUGGGUGAUCUGCCCUGCACUUCGGGAUAAGCCUGGGAAACUGGGUCUAAUACCGGAUAGGACAAUGGUUUGGAUGCUGUUGUGGAAAGUUUUUCGGUGUGGGAUGAGCUCGCGGCCUAUCAGCUUGUUGGUGGGGUAAUGGCCUACCAAGGCGUCGACGGGUAGCCGGCCUGAGAGGGUGCACGGCCACAUUGGGACUGAGAUACGGCCCAGACUCCUACGGGAGGCAGCAGUGGGGAAUAUUGCACAAUGGGCGCAAGCCUGAUGCAGCGACGCCGCGUGGGGGAUGACGGCCUUCGGGUUGUAAACUCCUUUCGCUAGGGACGAAGCGUUUUUGUGACGGUACCUGGAGAAGAAGCACCGGCUAACUACGUG